RNAcentral lists this ribosomal RNA (406 nucleotides) under uncultured bacterium. RNAcentral describes it as "bacterial SSU rRNA". It matches the Rfam family "Bacterial small subunit ribosomal RNA", at positions 28 to 431 of the family's 1533-position model. The record is from RNAcentral.
GACGAACGCUGGCGGCGUGCUUAAUACAUGCAAGUCGAACGAUGAAAGCUGGAGCUUGCUCCGGCUGGAUUAGUGGCGAACGGGUGAGUAACACGUGAGUAACCUGCCCCUCACUCUGGGAUAACCUCGGGAAACCGAAGCUAAUACCGGAUACGACCCUCGGAGGCAUCUCCAGGGGGUGGAAAGAAUUUCGGUGAGGGAUGGACUCGCGGCCUAUCAGGUAGUUGGUGAGGUAAUGGCUCACCAAGCCGACGACGGGUAGCCGGCCUGAGAGGGUGACCGGCCACACUGGGACCUGAGACACGGCCCAGACUCCUACGGGAGGCAGCAGUAGGGAAUAUUGCACAAUGGGCGCAAGCCUGAUGCAGCAACGCCGCGUGAGGGACGACGGCCUCGGUUGUAACGU